UACAUAGGGGGCAAGCGUUGUUCGGAAUUACUGGGCGUAAAGCGUGCGCAGGCGGUUGUGCAAGACCGAUGUGAAAUCCCCGGGCUUAACCUGGGAAUGGCAUUGGUGACUGCACGGCUAGAGUGUGUCAGAGGGGGGUAGAAUUCCACGUGUAGCAGUGAAAUGCGUAGAGAUGUGGAGGAAUACCGAUGGCGAAGGCAGCCCCCUGGGAUAACACUGACGCUCAUGCACGAAAGCGUGGGGAGCAAACAGG
This 253-nucleotide ribosomal RNA is filed under the name uncultured bacterium. RNAcentral describes it as "partial 16S ribosomal RNA". It matches the Rfam family "Bacterial small subunit ribosomal RNA", at positions 524 to 776 of the family's 1533-position model. The record is from RNAcentral.